Molecule: ribosomal RNA, 372 nt
Filed under: uncultured organism
Description: partial 16S ribosomal RNA
Rfam family: Bacterial small subunit ribosomal RNA
Source: RNAcentral
GUAGGUGGCAAGCGUUGUCCGGAAUUAUUGGGCGUAAAGCGCGCGCAGGCGGUUCUUUAAGUCUGAUGUGAAAGCCCACGGGCUCAACCGUGGAGGGUCAUUGGAACCUGGAGAACUUGAGUACAGAAGAGGAAAGCGGAAUUCCACGUGUAGCGGUGAAAUGCGUAGAGAUGUGGAGGAACACCAGUGGCGAAGGCGGCUUUCUGGUCUGUAACUGACGCUGAGGCGCGAAAGCGUGGGGAGCAAACAGGAUUAGAUACCCUGGUAGUCCACGCCGUAAACGAUGAGUGCUAAGUGUUAGGGGGUUUCCGCCCCUUAGUGCUGCAGCUAACGCAUUAAGCACUCCGCCUGGGGAGUACGGCCGCAAGGCUG